GUAGCUCAGCUGGGAGAGCGCUUGACUGGCAGUCAAGAGGUCAGGGGUUCGAUUCCCCUCGUCUCC
This 66-nucleotide transfer RNA is filed under the name uncultured Collinsella sp. It matches the Rfam family "tRNA". Rfam says of the family: Transfer RNA (tRNA) molecules are approximately 80 nucleotides in length. Their secondary structure includes four short double-helical elements and three loops (D, anti-codon, and T loops). Lineage: Bacteria; Bacillati; Actinomycetota; Coriobacteriia; Coriobacteriales; Coriobacteriaceae. The record is from RNAcentral.